RNAcentral lists this ribosomal RNA (485 nucleotides) under uncultured bacterium. RNAcentral's name for it is "bacterial SSU rRNA". It matches the Rfam family "Bacterial small subunit ribosomal RNA", at positions 28 to 507 of the family's 1533-position model. The record is from RNAcentral.
GACGAACGCUGGCGGCGUGCUUAACACAUGCAAGUCGAGCGAUGAAGCACCUUCGGGUGUGAAUUAGCGGCGAACGGGUGAGGAACACGUGAGAAAUCUGCCUUCAACACUGGGAUAACUCCGGGAAACCGGGGCUAAUACCGGAUAUGAAACCUGCGGGCAUCCGCGGGUUUGGAAAGUUUUUCGGUUGAAGAUGAUCUCGCGGCCUAUCAGCUUGUUGGUGAGGUAAUGGCUCACCAAGGCGACGACGGGUAGCCGGCCUGAGAGGGCGACCGGCCACACUGGGACUGAGACACGGCCCAGACUCCUACGGGAGGCAGCAGUGGGGAAUUUUGGACAAUGGGGGCAACCCUGAUCCAGCCAUGCCGCGUGAGUGAAGAAGGCCUUCGGGUUGUAAAGCUCUUUCUAGCCGGGAAGAAAACGACACUCUCUAACAUAGGUGUGGAUGACGGUACCGGAAGUAAGAAGCACCGGCUAACUACGUG